This 219-nucleotide microRNA precursor is filed under the name Medicago truncatula (barrel medic). RNAcentral describes it as "MIR2655 microRNA precursor family". It matches the Rfam family "MIR2655 microRNA precursor family". Lineage: Eukaryota; Viridiplantae; Streptophyta; Magnoliopsida; Fabales; Fabaceae. The record is from Rfam by way of RNAcentral.
CCAUUAACUAUUAAAAGCUUCGUUUAGGUCCGUUAACUUACUUUUUGGUUUCGUUUUGAUCCCUGAACUCAUCCUCCGUCAACCACUUUGGUCCUUUAUGUUAAGAUGAAUGUAUUAGAGUUAAGGGAUCAAAAUGAAACAAAAAAAUAAGUUUAGAGACCAAAACGAAACCAAAAAAUAAGUUAAGGGAUCAAAACGAAACUUUUAAUAGUUAAGGGA